CCUACGGGAGGCAGCAGUGAGGAAUAUUGGUCAAUGGGCGCGAGCCUGAACCAGCCAAGUCGCGUGAGGGAUGAAGGUUCUAUGGAUCGUAAACCUCUUUUAUAAGGGAAUAAAGUGUGGGACGUGUCCUAUUUUGUACGUACCUUAUGAAUAAGGAUCGGCAAACCCGGGGCCAGCAGCCGCGGUAAUACGGAGGAUCCGAGCGUUAUCCGGAUUUAUUGGGUUUAAGGGGUGCGUAGGGGGCCUUUUAAGUUAGCGGUGAAAGUCUGUGGCUCAACCAUAGAAUUGCCGUGGAAAUUGGGAGCUAGAGUAUGUUAGAGGCAGGCGGAAUGCGUUGUGUAGCGGUGAAAUGCUUAGAUAUCACGCAGAACCCCGAUUGCGAAGGCAGCCUGCCAGGCCAUUACUGACGCUGAUGCACGAAAGCGUGGGGAUCAAACAGGAUUAGAUACCCGGGUAGUC
This 459-nucleotide ribosomal RNA is filed under the name uncultured bacterium. RNAcentral describes it as "partial 16S ribosomal RNA". It matches the Rfam family "Bacterial small subunit ribosomal RNA", at positions 338 to 795 of the family's 1533-position model. The record is from RNAcentral.